This 371-nucleotide ribosomal RNA is filed under the name Rhipicephalus sanguineus (brown dog tick). Its description in RNAcentral is "partial large subunit ribosomal RNA". The stretch from base 237 to 371 matches the Rfam family "Archaeal large subunit ribosomal RNA", at positions 2542 to 2677 of the family's 2987-position model. Lineage: Eukaryota; Metazoa; Arthropoda; Arachnida; Ixodida; Ixodidae. The record is from RNAcentral. RNAcentral also lists the same sequence under 1 other name.
CUAAGAGAAUGGAAGUCCAGAAAAAAACUUUUUUUAAAUUAAAAAUUGAAGUUUUUUUAAUUUGUGCAGAAACAAUUAUUUAUAUUAAAGACAAGAAGACCCUAUGAAUUUAUUAAAUUUUUAUUUAAUAUGUAAUUACUAUUAGAAAAAUUUUGGCUGGGGCGGCUAGAAAAUAUUAUAAACUUUUUAAAAAUAAAAUGAUCCAUUAUUAAUGAUUUUAUGUUAAAUACUCUAGGGAUAACAGCGUUAUAUUUUUUGAUAGAUCAUAUUGACAAAAAAGUUUGCGACCUCGAUGUUGGAUUAGGAUACUUUUUUAAUGAAGAUAUUAAAAAAAGAAGUUUGUUCAACUUUUAAUUUCCUACAUGAUCUGA